This 429-nucleotide ribosomal RNA is filed under the name Fusobacteriota bacterium. Its description in RNAcentral is "Fusobacteria bacterium partial 16S ribosomal RNA". It matches the Rfam family "Bacterial small subunit ribosomal RNA", at positions 355 to 776 of the family's 1533-position model. The record is from RNAcentral. Lineage: Bacteria; Fusobacteriati; Fusobacteriota.
UGGGGAAUCUUCCGCAAUGGACGAAAGUCUGACGGAGCAACGCCGCGUGAGUGAAGACGGCCUUCGGGUUGUAAAGCUCCGUGAUCCGGGACGAAAGAGCCUGAGGUAAAUAGCCUAAGGAAUUGACGGUACCGGAAAAGCAAGCCACGGCUAACUACGUGCCAGCAGCCGCGGUAAUACGUAGGUGGCAAGCGUUGUCCGGAAUUAUUGGGCGUAAAGCGCGCGCAGGCGGCUUACUAAGUCCAUCUUAAAAGUGCGGGGCUUAACCCCGUGAUGGGAUGGAAACUGGAAAGCUGGAGUAUCGGAGAGGAAAGUGGAAUUCCUAGUGUAGCGGUGAAAUGCGUAGAGAUUAGGAAGAACACCGGUGGCGAAGGCGACUUUCUGGACGAAAACUGACGCUGAGGCGCGAAAGCGUGGGGAGCAAACAGG